RNAcentral lists this long non-coding RNA (1490 nucleotides) under Struthio camelus australis. RNAcentral's name for it is "lncRNA (ENSSCUG00000014657.1)". The record is from RNAcentral. Lineage: Eukaryota; Metazoa; Chordata; Aves; Struthioniformes; Struthionidae.
UUGCAGAGUCAAAUUCAAGGGAAGUGCUUCCUGAAGGGGCAUUAAGACUCAUGGAAAUUUGAUGUCAAGCUAUCAAAUGUUAUAAAGUGGAAUUCCUCUGCUGACUUCAGAGAAGAGAUGCUGGUUGGCAGUUGAUAAGGACCUGUCCCUGGAUCUGCAAGACAGUUUGUCUAUUCCUCUGCCAGUGCAGCACUGUUUCAGAAAGCAUACAUCUGGAUCAGGAACCGUUUGAGGAGGUCUGUCCCAUUACAGAGGAAGCUGGGUUUUCUGUACCUCUCAGAUGAAUUACAAAUCCAGAUGUGUGCUUCAUCCAAAAAAGUGUUUGUUAGAUCUCCUUCUAGUUCAGAAGACAGUUGGGUCCUCUCUGCAACAUAUUUUGCUGGUGACUCGAUGGUUCCAGAGACUAACAUGGAAAUAUAAAGUCAUAGUGAACCUUGUGACCAUUUUAAAUCUAAUCCAGUUAGAGACCUCUGCAAGGAUGAAAACAUGAUUUAAAGGAAAAGUCUCAAAAGGAGAAAAGUCAUGAACUCGGGGGCCUGGCUGCUGAAUAUGUCCUCUUCCCCAGGCGAUGCUGUGGGACCUGGCUCCUUGAGGAUGGACAGACGGACGGACAGCAAGGCUGAUGCCUGAGAGCAUGCGGUGAGGUUGGCUGAUGGCAGAAGAAGCACUCCCGACUUUCCUGACUGCCAACAGAGCAGCGCGGUAAAAUGCACUUGUUAUGAAGGAACCUCCCUGACUGCUCUGCCCAGCCCUUCCCGGGGUCCCCACCACCCCUCGCCCCUCGUUGCCGCUCAGCGGGGUCCUUCCCCCAGCUCGGCUCCCCGGUGCCUCCUGGCUCAUGCCCCAUUGGAUAGGUUCUCCCUCUAGCCUACAAAUGCCUAAGCCCAGGCAACGGUUCCCUCCAACACUGUGACCAAACCUCUCUGUCCUUACUUUCCAAUCUGGUAGAAAACACAAGGGAAGCACAAUUUGCUACCCCCCACCCUGAAGGAAAAGAGGACACCUUGGUCAGUGAUCAUAUUUCAGUAAUCAAAGAAAAAAUUAGGUUAUUCUCCUUCCCUUGCUAGACUCCAGCACUCAGAGUAAUCUGAAAUGGAAAAAAGACUGAAAAGGCCUUUGAUAGUGACACACCGCUUUCUCUUCAUGUGCGCUCUUUUAUCAGAGCUUACAGACAUUUGAGCAGAGUGUGGGGCCCUGUUGAAUCGGCUGUUUUGCACAUUUUUAAUGAUUGUUUUCUCAUUCAUUUCCUGUUUUCUUACCAGUGGCCCCAACCACAUUCAGAACCUAGAUAGUAAGUGCCUUGGUAUCUCUGCCAGCUGUGUUUAAACUCCUUUUUCUACUCUUUAAAAAAGCUUAGAGCUCCACUUACUUCCCUUCUGAUACAUAACUUAAGCUAAACUUGACUUGAGGCCAACCAUAUCUAAAAAAAGGAAAAAGAAAGCUUGGGUAGAGCAGGAAACAGGUAAUUCUGCUGCUGUUGCAAGUGCUGG